GACGAACGCUGGCGGCGUGCUUAACACAUGCAAGUCGAGCGGUAAGGCCCUUUCGGGGGUACACGAGCGGCGAACGGGUGAGUAACACGUGGGUGACCUGCCCUCAGCUCUGGGAUAAGCCCUGGGAAACCGGGUCGUAAUACUGGAUAUGACUCCAUGACGCAGUGUUGUGGGGUGGAAAGCCUUGUGCGGCUGAGGAUGGGCCCGCGGCCUAUCAGCUUGUUGGUGGGGUGA
RNAcentral lists this ribosomal RNA (234 nucleotides) under uncultured bacterium. RNAcentral describes it as "partial 16S ribosomal RNA". It matches the Rfam family "Bacterial small subunit ribosomal RNA", at positions 28 to 260 of the family's 1533-position model. The record is from RNAcentral.